This 540-nucleotide ribosomal RNA is filed under the name uncultured bacterium. RNAcentral describes it as "bacterial SSU rRNA". It matches the Rfam family "Bacterial small subunit ribosomal RNA", at positions 83 to 639 of the family's 1533-position model. The record is from RNAcentral.
UUCCUCAAUCGAGUGGCGAACGGGUGAGUAACGCGUGAGGAACCUGCCUCAAAGAGGGGGACAACAGUUGGAAACGACUGCUAAUACCGCAUAAGCCCACGACCCGGCAUCGGGUUGAGGGAAAAGGAGCAAUCCGCUUUGAGAUGGCCUCGCGUCCGAUUAGCUAGUUGGUGAGGUAACGGCCCACCAAGGCAACGAUCGGUAGCCGGACUGAGAGGUUGAACGGCCACAUUGGGACUGAGACACGGCCCAGACUCCUACGGGAGGCAGCAGUGGGGGAUAUUGGACAAUGGGGGGAACCCUGAUCCAGCGACGCCGCGUGAGGGAAGAAGGUUUUCGGAUUGUAAACCUCUGUUGACGGAGAAAAAAAUGAUGGUAUCCGUUUAGAAAGCCACGGCUAACUACGUGCCAGCAGCCGCGGUAAUACGUAGGUGGCAAGCGUUGUCCGGAAUUACUGGGUGUAAAGGGAGUGUAGGCGGGAUAUCAAGUCAGAAGUGAAAAUUACGGGCUCAACUCGUAACCUGCUUUUGAAACUGACAU